UUUAUUCCUAGGGCAUUUUGUCACAAC
RNAcentral lists this non-coding RNA (27 nucleotides) under Rattus norvegicus (Norway rat). Lineage: Eukaryota; Metazoa; Chordata; Mammalia; Rodentia; Muridae. The record is from RNAcentral.